Molecule: unclassified non-coding RNA, 331 nt
Filed under: soil metagenome
Description: partial contains 5.8S ribosomal RNA, internal transcribed spacer 2, and large subunit ribosomal RNA
Rfam family: 5.8S ribosomal RNA (bases 2-119)
Source: RNAcentral
GUGAAGAACGCAGCGAAAUGCGAUAAGUAAUGUGAAUUGCAGAAUUCAGUGAAUCAUCGAAUCUUUGAACGCACAUUGCGCCCCCUGGUAUUCCGGGGGGCAUGCCUGUUCGAGCGUCAUUUCACCACUCAAGCCUCGCUUGGUAUUGGGCGACGCGGUCCGCCGCGCGCCUCAAAUCGACCGGCUGGGUCUUCCGUCCCCUCAGCGUUGUGGAAACUAUUCGCUAAAGGGUGCCGCGGGAGGUCACGCCGCAAAACAACCCCAUUUCUAAGGUUGACCUCGGAUCAGGUAGGGAUACCCGCUGAACUUAAGCAUAUCAAUAAGCGGAGGA